AUUGAACGCUGGCGGCAGGCCUAACACAUGCAAGUCGAGCGGUAGCACAAGAGAGCUUGCUCUCUGGGUGACGAGCGGCGGACGGGUGAGUAAUGUCUGGGAAACUGCCUGAUGGAGGGGGAUAACUACUGGAAACGGUAGCUAAUACCGCAUAACGUCGCAAGACCAAAGUGGGGGACCUUCGGGCCUCAUGCCAUCAGAUGUGCCCAGAUGGGAUUAGCUAGUAGGUGGGGUAACGGCUCACCUAGGCGACGAUCCCUAGCUGGUCUGAGAGGAUGACCAGCCACACUGGAACUGAGACACGGUCCAGACUCCUACGGGAGGCAGCAGUGGGGAAUAUUGCACAAUGGGCGCAAGCCUGAUGCAGCCAUGCCGCGUGUGUGAAGAAGGCCUUCGGGUUGUAAAGCACUUUCAGCGGGGAGGAAGGCGUUAAGGUUAAUAACCUUGGCGAUUGACGUUACCCGCAGAAGAAGCACCGGCUAACUCCGUGCCAGCAGCCGCGGUAAUACGGAGGGUGCAAGCGUUAAUCGGAAUUACUGGGCGUAAAGCGCACGCAGGCGGUCUGUCAAGUCGGAUGUGAAAUCCCCGGGCUCAACCUGGGAACUGCAUUCGAAACUGGCAGGCUAGAGUCUUGUAGAGGGGGGUAGAAUUCCAGGUGUAGCGGUGAAAUGCGUAGAGAUCUGGAGGAAUACCGGUGGCGAAGGCGGCCCCCUGGACAAAGACUGACGCUCAGGUGCGAAAGCGUGGGGAGCAAACAGGGAUUAGAUACCCUGGUAGUCCACGCCGUAAACGAUGUCGAUUUGGAGGUUGUGCCCUUGAGGCGUGGCUUCCGGAGCUAACGCGUUAAAUCGACCGCCUGGGGAGUACGGCCGCAAGGUUAAAACUCAAAUGAAUUGACGGGGGCCCGCACAAGCGGUGGAGCAUGUGGUUUAAUUCGAUGCAACGCGAAGAACCUUACCUGGUCUUGACAUCCACAGAACUUUCCAGAGAUGGAUUGGUGCCUUCGGGAACUGUGAGACAGGUGCUGCAUGGCUGUCGUCAGCUCGUGUUGUGAAAUGUUGGGUUAAGUCCCGCAACGAGCGCAACCCUUAUCCUUUGUUGCCAGCGGUUCGGCCGGGAACUCAAAGGAGACUGCCAGUGAUAAACUGGAGGAAGGUGGGGAUGACGUCAAGUCAUCAUGGCCCUUACGACCAGGGCUACACACGUGCUACAAUGGCAUAUACAAAGAGAAGCGACCUCGCGAGAGCAAGCGGACCUCAUAAAGUAUGUCGUAGUCCGGAUUGGAGUCUGCAACUCGACUCCAUGAAGUCGGAAUCGCUAGUAAUCGUAGAUCAGAAUGCUACGGUGAAUACGUUCCCGGGCCUUGUACACACCGCCCGUCACACCAUGGGAGUGGGUUGCAAAAGAAGUAGGUAGCUUAACCUUCGGGAGGGCGCUUACCAC
This 1443-nucleotide ribosomal RNA is filed under the name uncultured organism. Its description in RNAcentral is "16S ribosomal RNA". It matches the Rfam family "Bacterial small subunit ribosomal RNA". The record is from RNAcentral.